This 2407-nucleotide long non-coding RNA is filed under the name Strigops habroptila (Kakapo). RNAcentral's name for it is "lncRNA (ENSSHBG00005013559.1)". The record is from RNAcentral. Lineage: Eukaryota; Metazoa; Chordata; Aves; Psittaciformes; Psittacidae.
UAAGCGAUUAGGCACUGAGAGUAGCAGAAAUCCUGCAAAGCUUUAUAGUUCACUAGGCAUUUGCCUUUGUUGGUUCUCUGAGUGAUGUCUUGAUUUGAGUAGCUAGAAUUUUCCCUGAAUCUACUAGAAGGGGUAUCAGUAUUUUCAGGUAACAAAGUCUGUUAGCACAACAAAAAUUUCAGACCAAUAUCUUACUGUAUUGGGGUUGGGUUUUUUUUUCCUUGUUUGUUUUGUUUUAAUUUUUAUUAAUUUCAGCUGCUUUCAUUUUGGAAAAUCUUAUUGCUAUUGUGUGUACUUCAGUAUACCAGCAAACACUGUUACCCGUUAACACAUUGUCCACAAAUGCCUCUAGAGAAGAAAUUGUUGCACCUUAUGUAUAUCUCAAGCAAACCAAAAUAUGAUGCUUUUCUGCUUUGUUUAUUCUGAAUAUGUUGUAUCAUACUUUACUGAACCCAUUUUAACUUAGCUAAAGCUAUCGAUAUUUAUGCAUUUCACAUUAUUUUCUGGAUCUGAACCUGUGUAUAAAUCUUUCUUUAAAAAAAAAAAAAAAAAGAGAAAAGAAAAGCAUUUACCGUAGUCGUCCUCUGUGACUUAUCCAUGGGAGGGGGGAAUCUUGUCUCAAGUGUAAAAUGCAGUACUGUCCCAGUUUUCCUUGGCUUUUAUUUAUUUAGUGAUCUUUGAUAUUUCAUAUGUAGUUUUGAGGUAUACAAAAUACAUUGUCGUAGCCGAAGCUACAGAUCUAAGCAGCUGGGAGAAAAUUACUGUAAUGUUGUCUUCAUUGUUCUAGUACUGUAUACAAAUAUGGGAAAAAUGUUCUGCAGAACAUUUGAGAUGCAGAUUCUUGUCCCCACAGUAGGUUAUUUUCCAGAUAUUAGACCAAAUCAAUCAAAACUCAAUGAUCUUAAAGGUCUUUCCUGAACUAAAUGAUUCUAUGAUUCUAAAAACAUCUAUGGAGAUUACUUAAUGCUCUGCUUAUGGCAGGAACUACCCCUUGAAUGUGCUGUGAUUUCAGAAAUAGAAUAUAUUUAUUAAAGAUGACUGAAUGCUCUUUUAUACUAAUACAAUAUUCCAAAGUCAUGAGCAAGAGACUUCUUGGUAGUUUGGGUUUCUGUUUUAUAGCAUUGGUGCAUGACUUUUGAAAUUAAAAUGGUAAGUGCUGUUGGAGAGGGGCACAGGAACAAGGGACUGGUAGAAGCCUGUGAACUUGUGGUGUUUAAAUUCCAGCUUUGGUAUUUAUUAUUUGGGUGAAAGCUGCCUUUGUAGCACAAGGAUAAAGAGCACUUUGCAGUUUGUAUCAAGUAGAAACCCAAGAGAGUUGUAACUCACAUCAGAAUGAGUGGAUGCCUUAUAGUUUGGAUGCUAUUUUUUGGAACAGGAUAUUAAAUUGAAGCCGUUUUAAUUUCCACUGCCUGCUUAGCUACUAUACAGAUACAGAACAGACAGAAGGCAACAGCUGUAGACGUGGGGCAGCUAAGAGAGGAUGAAAGAAAACGUGGCCUUUGUUCUCAGUAUGGCAAAGUAAUGGCAACAAAGAGGAAUUAAGGAAAAAAGAUAGAUGUAUAUAUAUGUGUGUGUGUAUGUGUGCAUGUGUGUGUGUGCCUGGGUGUGUACAUUCUGCAAAAAAACCCAAACUGUAGGAAAAAGAAAAACAUGAUGGGUCUACAAGAGACUGUAAUGGAUAUUGACCCUUUGAGCGCACUCCCUUUUUUUGAAUGCUGAGUCUAAUAUGGCUACCUCUCCUAAAAGACUACUUUUGUUAACUUCCUUUUGCUUUCAGACUUGAUCGUGUAAACCUUUCAGCCAUUGAUACCAUUUGUAUAUCGCUGUGUGCUUUACUUUCUCAGAGCAACGUUUAUAUAGAGCAGACAACGCAAAGACUGAAUAUACAGUGGUAGCCAAACUAUGUUGCUGGAGCAUUUUUGUUUAACCUCUGCCAUGGUCGUAUGGAUUGCAGGACGUGGGCAGUGUAGGUAGUUGGUUCAGUGAGGUCAGUUUUUGUAGCAGCAGAAAAUGCACUUCUUGUUGGAGGGGUGGACUUCAGAUAUUGCCAGAGGUGACGCAGUAAGCCAAAUGCUGCUCUUGAAAGUUAUGCUGAAGUUUACGUUUGCAAUCCUGAUUUCACAAGAAAACGUAACUUGUGUGUUGUAUACCAUACAUUAUCCAUUAGAUGCUGUUUGUUUGCCGUGCUUGUUUGGUAGAUUGUAGAGCUCCUAAGUAUCUUUGCCAUGUUUUGUAAUAUUUGUGGCAUUCUCCUUACCUUGUACAUAUUAUGGAACUGUCACCUACAGCUGCCAGGAUGCUGAGGCACUUCAGGACCCUGAGUGCCAUGAACGAGUGAUUUAGGCUGUGAAAGAGUUACUUGCCUUUUCCCCUGAAUUCCCCAAUAAAAAAUAAAUAAUGAAAAAAA